This 407-nucleotide ribosomal RNA is filed under the name uncultured bacterium. Its description in RNAcentral is "partial 16S ribosomal RNA". It matches the Rfam family "Bacterial small subunit ribosomal RNA", at positions 30 to 526 of the family's 1533-position model. The record is from RNAcentral.
AUUGAACGCUAGCGGCAUGCCUUACACAUGCAAGUCGAACGGAAUGGCGAACGGGUGGGUAAUGUAUCGGUACGUGCCCAGUCGCGGGGGAUAACUACGCGAAAGCGUAGCUAAUUCCGCCUACGCUUGGACCGGCCGAUAGCGAUGUGGCUAGUUGGUGGGGUAACGGCUCACCAAGGCGACGAUCCGUAGCUGGUUUGAGAGGACGACCAGCCACACUGGGACUGGGACACGGCCCAGACUCCUACGGGAGGCAGCAGUGGGGAAUUUUGGACAAUGGGGGAAACCCUGAUCCAGCCAUCCCGCGUGUGCGAUGAAGGCCUUCGGGUUGUAAAGCACUUUUGGCAGGAAAGCGGUACCUGCAGAAUAAGCACCGGCUAACUACGUGCCAGCAGCCGCGGUAAUAC